CCAGAAAUGCUGACGAGGAGGGACAUUACAGAGUUAUCCAACUCCCAAACCCAUGUGAACUUAUCUCUUUGUUGCCUCGGCGCAAGCUACCCGGGACCUCGCGCCCCGGGGCGGCCCGCCGGCGGACAAACCAAAACUCUUGUUAUCUUAGUUGAUUAUCUGAGUGUCUUAUUUAAUAAGUCAAAACUUUCAACAACGGAUCUCUUGGUUCUGGCAUCGAUGAAGAACGCAGCGAAAUGCGAUAAGUAAUGUGAAUUGCAGAAUUCAGUGAAUCAUCGAAUCUUUGAACGCACAUUGCGCCCAUUAGUAUUCUAGUGGGCAUGCCUGUUCGAGCGUCAUUUCAACCCCUAAGCACAGCUUAUUGUUGGGAACCUACGGCUUCGUAGUUCCUCAAAGACAUUGGCGGAGUGGCAGUGGUCCUCUGAGCGUAGUAAUCUUUUAUCUCGCUUCUGUUAGGUGCUGCCCCCCCGGCCGUAAAACCCCCAAUUUUUUCUGGUUGACCUCGGAUCAGGUAGGAAUACCCGCUGAACUUAAGCAUAUCAAUAACCCGGAGCGCAA
This 558-nucleotide ribosomal RNA is filed under the name Nigrospora sp. 1 27. RNAcentral's name for it is "eukaryotic LSU rRNA". The stretch from base 185 to 338 matches the Rfam family "5.8S ribosomal RNA". The record is from RNAcentral. RNAcentral also lists the same sequence under 1 other name. Lineage: Eukaryota; Fungi; Ascomycota; Sordariomycetes; Amphisphaeriales; Apiosporaceae.